CUAACACAUGCAAGUCGAGCGGUAACAGAAAGUAGCUUGCUACUUUGCUGACGAGCGGCGGACGGGUGAGUAAUGCUUGGGAACAUGCCUUGAGGUGGGGGACAACAGUUGGAAACGACUGCUAAUACCGCAUAAUGUCUACGGACCAAAGGGGGCUUCGGCUCUCGCCUUUAGAUUGGCCCAAGUGGGAUUAGCUAGUUGGUGAGGUAAUGGCUCACCAAGGCGACGAUCCCUAGCUGGUUUGAGAGGAUGAUCAGCCACACUGGGACUGAGACACGGCCCAGACUCCUACGGGAGGCAGCAGUGGGGAAUAUUGCACAAUGGGCGCAAGCCUGAUGCAGCCAUGCCGCGUGUGUGAAGAAGGCCUUCGGGUUGUAAAGCACUUUCAGUCAGGAGGAAAGGUUAGUAGUUAAUACCUGCUAGCUGUGACGUUACUGACAGAAGAAGCACCGGCUAACUCCGUGCCAGCAGCCGCGGUAAUACGGAGGGUGCGAGCGUUAAUCGGAAUUACUGGGCGUAAAGCGUACGCAGGCGGUUUGUUAAGCGAGAUGUGAAAGCCCCGGGCUCAACCUGGGAACUGCAUUUCGAACUGGCAAACUAGAGUGUGAU
RNAcentral lists this ribosomal RNA (609 nucleotides) under bacterium 4746K8-B4. RNAcentral describes it as "bacterial SSU rRNA". It matches the Rfam family "Bacterial small subunit ribosomal RNA", at positions 48 to 652 of the family's 1533-position model. The record is from RNAcentral.